UUGAUCUCACCCAAUAUCUUGGAGAAAUUUGGUUGAUUAACCAUGGUCCAAAAAUACCUCUCAACAUGUGGAAAUUCCGAUGUGAAACUCUUGGUCAGUAAUCGACUAAAUGCAAAAGCCAAGGUGCAUGUUAUAAUAAUAUCAGCCAAGGUGACACUAUGCCCAACAAGGUACGUGUUGGAAGCAAGAUGGGUAUUCAAGGCUCCUAGUGCUCUCUUCGAUCCAGCAAUCGCAGCUUCUUCAAC
RNAcentral lists this long non-coding RNA (245 nucleotides) under Daucus carota (carrot). RNAcentral's name for it is "long non-coding RNA (DCAR_LNC002969)". The record is from RNAcentral. Lineage: Eukaryota; Viridiplantae; Streptophyta; Magnoliopsida; Apiales; Apiaceae.